Molecule: ribosomal RNA, 252 nt
Filed under: uncultured bacterium
Lineage: Bacteria
Description: partial 16S ribosomal RNA
Rfam family: Bacterial small subunit ribosomal RNA
Source: RNAcentral
UACGGAGGAUGCGAGCGUUAUCCGGAUUUAUUGGGUUUAAAGGGUGCGUAGGCGGUCUGUUAAGUCAGCAGUAAAAUUGCGGGGCUCAACCCCGUCGAGCCGUUGAAACUGGCAGACUUGAGUUGGCGAGAAGUACGCGGAAUGCGCGGUGUAGCGGUGAAAUGCAUAGAUAUCGCGCAGAACUCCGAUUGCGAAGGCAGCGUACCGGCGCCACACUGACGCUGAGGCACGAAAGCGUGGGGAUCGAACAGG